Biomphalaria glabrata is the source of this 905-nucleotide long non-coding RNA. RefSeq lists it as uncharacterized. The transcript is spliced from 7 exons. NCBI's taxonomy places the organism in Eukaryota, Metazoa, Mollusca, Gastropoda, Planorbidae. The record is from RefSeq and is a predicted model, not a curated record.
UGUCGUAGUGACUGACUCAGCUGUGGCCCAUUCUGAAUUAAAGAUUGUUAUGAUGUUUUCAUCUCAAGUGACUGUCCAUUGAGCCUGUUCGUUACUUUUCGCUCUUUGUGACGUCAUGUAGAUCGAUAUUUUCGGACUCGCACCUGUAAUACACGAUCUACAAUUAUCAAGGACCUUUGGUAGGUCAAAAACAGGAGAGAGAUAUACAGAAAAGAUCAGUAAUUGGAGGUGCAACACUUGGCACAAGUUUAGCUGUUUGCCCAGGGUGAAGAAGGCGUGACUAAAAUACUAAAGUUAGUUGAAGCAGAGCUUGCAAAGUUAAAGAUAAAGUAUGCUGAGCUGGAACAUUCUCAAGAGAUAAAGAAUAAGCAGCUUAAACAAGCGAAGGACAAUCGAAAAAUGGCUCUGAACAAGAAGGACUAAAUAAUCGAGGUCAAAAGAGUUUUAGAAAUAUCAAGAAAGUGCAAAAUUCUCUUCUUAACAAAACAUUGAUUGAAAUUGUAAAAAAAAAAAAAAACUUAAGACUUUGUUUAUAAAACACAUUUUUUUUCCUCUAGCUUCUAAAACGGGAGCUUCAAGAAUUAAGAGAAGCAACAAACAACUGAAAUAAAUCAGCCAAAAGUUCCUCAUUCUUCCCUUUUGAUUACCUGAGGCACUCACUUGGAUGGCUGCCUGGUCGUGCGGUUUGCGCGCUGGAGUGUCGUUCGGAUUUAUCGACGGUCUAGUGUUCAAACCCUGCCCGCUCCCAUCCCCCGUUGUCCUGCGGGAGGUUUGGACUAGGAAGUAAACUAUCUUCAACUCUGAAGGAACAUCCGAAACAUGUCAAACAAAACAAGCCUGUAAUUUUGUUUAAGACUAAUGCAAGGCCUUGGAAAUUGUUUCUAAGGAGGAAGAAGACACAUGUC